Oncorhynchus gorbuscha (pink salmon) is the source of this 935-nucleotide long non-coding RNA. RefSeq lists it as uncharacterized. The transcript is spliced from 2 exons. NCBI's taxonomy places the organism in Eukaryota, Metazoa, Chordata, Actinopteri, Salmoniformes, Salmonidae. The record is from RefSeq and is a predicted model, not a curated record.
GCUAGCUAGCACUGCAUUGCAUGUUGUGAGUGGUCGACUCAGAGACAGAAAGAAAAUAGUUGAACAAAUUAAUUUAUUCCUAAAUGAAGGAGAAGCAAGAGUGAAAUAGAGAGAUUAUCUUUUUUUUCACUUACUUAGCUAGAAAAUGCAGCUAGCUAGUUUAUCCUAACACCCUGCUCAAAGAGUGGGAUGCUAUGUUAGCUAGCUGGCUAGGACUAUCCAACACAACACUGGAACUCUGCCAUGUCAAGGAAAAGUAGCUGCUGCCUCUGCAAAAGCGGAUGGGGAUCCGAAUAAACCAAUAAAUCGAAACUGAGAGAUUAUGAGAAUUAUUACAAUAGAACGUUGAUGUGAUCAUCUAAUUUUCAUUCUCAUCAUAUCGAUGUCACAAAGGAUACCUGACUUGGAAUGUUGACCUUUAACAUGCAAACGUGUUUGUUAGUUCCAAUUCUACAUUUUGGAAACAAUAAUUCUUCUUUUCUUUUUGACAAUGAAGAAAGCAAGGGGAUGAAAUGUAUUCUUUGUGUGCCAUUGUCUGGGGGUUAUGAAUAACCUGACAGGCCUCAAUAGGCAAUACCAGCCUCAGCCGAAUUCACAAACCAAUCACCUCAGCUCCGGCCUGGCCCAGUACCUAGACUCCAACCCCACUCUGAUUAUCGAUCUCCAGAAACUUGGCCUGACUUCUGACUGCUUGGAAGAGCCUGAAGAGAUACUGUUUAUGGAGGUGUGGGACCUUGGGAAAGACAGAGGAGACCAACGCUACAAGGCCAGGUGGUUCAUUACUGGAGAGCACGAAAAUGUGCUGGACGAGGGCACCUGGCUGGUGAAACCACAGAAGAAAGACAAUCCUGUUAGGUGAACAAUUAUCUUCAGCUCACAAUUUAUAAAUGUGUGUUUGUAAAAAAAGUAAAAGAUUUUAUUCCAUCAUAAAAAAA